UGGGCUGGUGCCGCUGGGAGUAGGGGGGCUGUCGGGGGUACAGUCGUUCCGUCGCCGAGUGGCUGCCCCGGGCUCGGUGCUCCUUGUCCUGCCCGAAGGCUUGUGCUGUCCCCGUGCUGAAUGUGGAAGGUGUUGGGCGGGUGCUCUUCACUGAUGCUCUUCAGUACGAGUCUGCUGGGUCACGUACAUGUGACCCGGGCGGGGAGGACAGAAAAUGGAAUAAUCAAAACAGACAAGGUAUUUGAAGUAAUGCUGGCUACAGACCGUUGCCACUAUGCAAAAUACAACCCAUAUAUGGAUUCUCCACAGUCUAUAGGUUUCCAAGCAACAAUCAGUGCUCCACAUAUGCAUGCAUAUGCUCUUGAACUUCUGUCUGAUCAGUUACAUGAAGGAGCCAAAGCACUUGAUGUAGGAUCUGGAAGUGGAAUCCUGACAGCCUGCUUUUCACGAAUGGUUGGUCCCAAAGGACAAGUUGUAGGAAUUGAUCAUAUCAAAGAACUAGUAGAUGACUCAAUAAAUAAUGUCAAAAAAGAUGAUCCCACAUUGCUGUCUUCAGGAAGAGUGAAACUGAUUGUGGGAGAUGGAAGAAUGGGAUAUGCAGAAGAAGCUCCCUAUGAUGCGAUUCAUGUAGGAGCUGCAGCACCAGUUGUGCCCCAAGCACUUAUAGAUCAGUUAAAACCUGGCGGAAGAUUGAUAUUACCGGUUGGUCCUGCAGGGGGAAACCAGAUGCUGGAACAGUAUGACAAACUAGAAGAUGGCAGUGUCAAAAUGAAGCCUCUGAUGGGAGUGAUAUAUGUGCCUUUAACAGAUAAAGAGAAGCAGUGGUCCAGGUGGAAGUGAUUUUCUGUUCCACUUACAUCUUCCACACACACACGCAAGGUGAAAGGGUUUGAAUUUUAAGCAGAUAGACUGCAAGGCCUGCCUUUGCUGCUGUCGUUGCUUUCUGCCCCUCCAUACCAUGAAAAGUGACUCAGUCUGCAUUAUUAUAUCACCAAAAGGAGUUCAUGCUACAUUUGAGUUAAUUUAAAAGCAGAAUAAAAAUAUUGCAUGGGUUGCACUUUGCCUCUUUCGGACAUGUUUUCUUUAGUCUUUGGUGUGUUGAAGUUUCUUACUUGUUGUUUUGAACACAGUAUUUUCUAAAUUUAAACUGCCAUUCUAAUGAACUUUUUAUAACUAGCUUACCCAGUAAUUAGGGUAAAGUGUAAAACACUACUUAAGAAUAAACAUUAUUUUGAGCUGUAAGUUAGUGGUAGUUGGGUGAUCAUUUUUUAUUUUUCUGAAGUUUCACAAAUGAAGAAAAAUCUUUGUAGAAUCCUAUGUGGGAAAAAAGUCAGCCUCCAAGUAGCAGAGAGUGGAGAAUGCAAUCCCUUUUUCUCUACAAUACAAAUGAAGUUAAGUAGCGUUCAGAAAAUUUUCUCAGACAUUAUUAAAAGUCUGUCAUCUGUCUCUGAUAGGGACGUGUUUGUGUUUCCCAACACUGUGAUCUCUAAAGGCUUUUCUAGAGAUAGUGGUUGCUUUGGCUAAUGAGGGUGAUGAACCUACUGAAAGAAAAAUCACAACAAACUCACUGGAUGAAUUGUAAAAGCUACAUCAUCUUGACCCAAACAUAGUGUCACAGUGGACUGCUCAUCUCCAGUUCUAAAAGCUUUUUGAAAACCAACAGCAUUGCAGCUUGUUUUGGACUUCGUUAUACUGUUGUUAUCAGCAUGGAAAAGCGUGGUGUUUGUUUUAUAUUUUUUAGAUGCUCAAGGCAAAUCUGAUAAAGAAAUGGUGGAAAGUUUUAUUUAGGCACUGUUUAAUUUAACAUGCCUUUAUUUUACUUUCAUCUGUUCCAAGUGAAUGUCUGCAAAACAGCAGAUAAAGAGCUAUAGCUUGUGAACUCUAAUUUUGAUGGGGGUACUUGAACACUCACUUCUCUUGGCUCCUGUGUCCCUUGGUAAAACUGCUUCUGUGCACCUUAUGACACUACGUAGGUAAUACCAGGUUUUCUGUGUUCCAAUGUCUGCUAGAUGCUACUAAAAGGAGAUCAACUUCCUUUUUAAGCUUUUGACAUGGUGUCAUAGACUAGCAUGUAGUAGAUACAAUCAGCUGCUUUGUUACCUUAAAACCAGGCAUUUGUAUAUAUUAAACUUCAAGACAUCAGAGGUGGGUGGCUGCUCUUAUCAAACAUUGCUGUUCAAGUUGGACAAGACAUAGUUUCCCUUCUAAAAUUAAUUAGAGUCUUGAAAUUCUGUUUUGGUAGCUCACUAUUGAUGUGACGCAAAUGGAUCUGACUCCGUAAGUAUGAUUUAAGCUGUGUCCCAAUCACUGAACAGUUUGUGCAAUGCUGCUUUGCCAAAUAAAAUUAAAAGCAAAAGGGUGGUUGUGUGCUUGUGUGGAAGAUUAGGAUCAGUGUGUAGUAGAAUACUGAGAUAUGGAUUGCUAGAUUCUUUAUUAAAAAAUAAAUAAAUCCAGUUUGGUUCUGAAAAAAAGUUGCUCCUGGCAAAGCCAUUUGCUAUAUAAAUGUUUUUCUAACUGUGGUCACCCAGGAAAAAUUCUGGCUUUUUAAAAAGUGAAUUCUUAAUUGCUAUACAAGGAAAACAUGCAUACAGAGGGAAUAAUGAAUCCUGGAUUCGUAAGUACAGACAGCAAUGCAAUUGUUCCAUUUUUUAUAUAGAAGAGUAGUUAAAGUUCUAUAGACCUUUCUUCCCCAAGUUUUCUGUUUUGGUACUGUAAAAUGUCAACAGCAAAUUGCAAAGCAGUAAAGUGAGUGCUUUGGGAAAGGAGGGAAGUGUGUCCUGAGUCAUCUUCCUCAGAUUUGAGCAACCAGGAAUUAAAGUAAAUGGCAUGUUACAAUUUUUAUCUGUUUUUUUUCUUUCACGGUAAAAUAAUUUGUAUAAAACAACUCAUAUUGAUCAGUGCAAAAACAUAUUUGACUUUUUGUGGUGAAACAGCAUUAAUUUUGUGAUAGGAUUAAUCCCUGAAAGCAUAAAGGUUCAAAUUCAAAGGCCUCUGAAUAUGAAAGCAGAGCAUUUUAAAUAACUUUCCUUUUGAAGAUCAACCCCAUCCUAUUCUUGUGUAAAAGAAAUGCAUCAAUUUAUUUAAAUGCUUGGAAGUUAAUGUACUACCUCCUGAUCUGACUGCAGCCUGUGAGCCCAUACACAAAGAUUAAACUUAUAAAGGAAUUAAUAUAGCUUGUGUUCUAGAAGAUACAAUUCAGAAAAACCCACUUUCAUGUGACAAAUUUGUACUAACUCCACAAUCAACUGUGAAUCUAGUUCUUGGUGUUGAAGUGAAAUACCUUAAAUGAUGCAUGCUAAUGUUCAGCCUUCUGGUCACUGUUUCAUUUGAUUUGAGUUCAGCUUUAUUUACAUCUUCUCACUAAUUUAAUCAGUAGAGGAAAGAUAUGAGCUCAACUGUAUCCAAAGUCUUGACUCUGGUGGUAAAGCUGAGACCUGGCGACAGCUUUUCUGGGUUGAACCACUUCAGGAGAUGUAAGGCUUCAGGGACCAAGGCUGUUGGGAUUAGUGCACCCAUUCUAUUGAAGGGGUUGGUGGUAAUCCAGGUACUCAGACUGAAAGGAGUAUCCAGGAGUAGCAUUUAGGAAUUGGAAAACUAAAACCCUUCCAUGGUGGAGCAAUGGUUCCGAAGUAAAAGCUUCUUGGAGAAGUGGACAAGUUGAAAUGCAGAAGAUUUGAAGAGCUUGAAUAAAUGCUGUGUGAACUGUCUGAGUUGCAUACUUUGCCAAAUAAAACAAAUUGAGAGGAAGCUGUA
This is an RNA transcript of Apus apus (common swift), 3753 nucleotides long. It is a transcript of the gene named protein-L-isoaspartate (D-aspartate) O-methyltransferase, with no coding region annotated. Lineage: Eukaryota; Metazoa; Chordata; Aves; Apodiformes; Apodidae. The transcript has 9 exons. The record is from RefSeq and is a predicted model, not a curated record.